ACGGCCGCGGUAUUUUGACCGUGCGAAGGUAGCGCAAUCACUUGUCUUUUAAAUGGAGACCUGUAUGAAUGGCACCACGAGGGCUUAACUGUCUCCCUCUCCCAGUCAAUGAAAUUGAUCUCCCCGUGCAGAAGCGGGGAUAAAAACAUAAGACGAGAAGACCCUAUGGAGCUUAAGACGCCAGAGCAGCCCACGUUAAACACCCUAAAACAAAAGAUAAAACAAAGUGGACCCCGCUCUAGUGUCUUUGGUUGGGGCGACCGCGGGGAAAAACUUAACCCCCAUGUGGAAUAGGAGUACUAUACUCUCAAAUCCAAGAGCUCCCGCUCUAAUAAACAGAAUUUCUGACCAACAAGAUCCGGCAGUGCCGAUCAACGGACCCGAGUUACCCUAGGGAUAACAGCGCAAUCCUCUUAAAGAGCCCUUAUCGCAAGGGGGGUUUACGACCUCGAUGUUGGAUCAGGACAUCCUAAUGGUGC
RNAcentral lists this ribosomal RNA (479 nucleotides) under Diplodus fasciatus (banded seabream). Its description in RNAcentral is "partial 16S ribosomal RNA". It matches the Rfam family "Bacterial large subunit ribosomal RNA", at positions 1927 to 2556 of the family's 2925-position model. The record is from RNAcentral. Lineage: Eukaryota; Metazoa; Chordata; Actinopteri; Spariformes; Sparidae.